GACGAACGCUGGCGGCGUGCUUAACACAUGCAAGUCGAGCGGUAAGGCCCUUUCGGGGGUACGACGAGCGGCGAACGGGUGAGUAACACGUGGGUGACCUGCCCUCAGCUCUGGGAGUAAGCCCGGGAAACUGGGUCUAAUACCGGAUAUGACUUCAUGACGCAUGUUGUGGAGUGGAAAGCCUUGUGCGGCUGAGGAUGGGCCCGCGGCCUAUCAGCUUGUUGGUGGGGUGAGGCCUACCAAGGCGACGACGGGUAGCCGGCCUGAGAGGGCGACCGGCCACACUGGGACUGAGACACGGCCAGACUCCUACGGGAGGCAGCAGUGAGGAAUAUUGGACAAUGGGCGCAAGCCUGAUCCAGCCAUGCCGCGUGAGUGAAGAAGGCC
Molecule: ribosomal RNA, 387 nt
Filed under: uncultured bacterium
Lineage: Bacteria
Description: bacterial SSU rRNA
Rfam family: Bacterial small subunit ribosomal RNA
Source: RNAcentral